Molecule: ribosomal RNA, 623 nt
Filed under: Ciliophora sp.
Lineage: Eukaryota; Ciliophora
Description: SSU rRNA
Rfam family: Eukaryotic small subunit ribosomal RNA
Source: RNAcentral
CUACCAUGGCAGUAACGGGUAACGGAGAAUUAGGGUUCGAUUCCGGAGAGGGAGCCUGAGAAACGGCUACCACAUCUAAGGAAGGCAGCAGGCGCGUAAAUUACCCAAUCCUGAUUCAGGGAGGUAGUGACAAGAAAUAUAAACCCGUGGAGCGUAGUUCUUACGGGAUUUAAAUGAGAACAAUUUAAAAGGCUUAGCGAGGAACAAUUGGAGGGCAAGUCUGGUGCCAGCAGCCGCGGUAAUUCCAGCUCCAAUAGCGUAUAUUAAAGUUGUUGCAGUUAAAAAGCUCGUAGUUGAAUUUCUGGUCAAUUUUAGUUUCGGCUUCGGUCGGUCUAAGGUUGGCCAUCCGUCUGCAAGCUAUUCUCGUCCUUCACUGUGUCGGUUUAGCGAGUUGACAUUUUACUUUGAAAAAAUUAGAGUGUUUCAGGCAGGCUUUUGCCCGAAUACAUUAGCAUGGAAUAAUGGAAUUGGACUCUGGUCCAUUUGGUUGGUUAUUGGAUCUGAGUAAUGGUUAAUAGGGACAGUUGGGGGCAUUAGUAUUUAAUUGUCAAAGGUGAAAUUCUUGGAUUUAUUAAAGACUAACUUAUGCGAAAGCAUUUGCCAAGGAUGUUUUCAUUAAUCAA